CUUUUUUCUUUCAAGUAUUUUCUAUUGCAAACUGUUUCAGAAAAUCCCUGAUAUGUAAAAGUACAAUAUAUACUUUAAAUUAUGGGAGCAAGUUAAUUAUGUAAAGAAUGAAAUCUCCAGUAAAUUUUAAAUUAUUUAUUUAAAGUCACUAGGUAUGGGGAGAAUUGGUCCAUAAAGUAUAAAUUCUAUGAAAACAACUAAAUCAUUCUGGUAUAAUAAAAAGCUGGAUGGUAUUUACAAUUCACGUUUCUUAAUUAUGAAAUAACAUGCUAACACUUUCAUAAGAUCCAAGAACUUUCUAGAACUAUUAUGUAAAUCUUUUAAAACCACAAAGGAACAACCUAUUUCAGAACUUACAUACAUCAUUUACUAGAAAACCACUAAAGAUGUUUCAAAUCUGAAACUGCCUCCUUCCUUCCAAACUGUAAGAAACAGUACGCUCAUCUUGAAGCUUUUUAAAUUAUUUAAAUUCAUUGCUAAUAUAUUUAUAACUACAUUAAAAAGAGUUUACAAUAUUGGAAAAAGGGCUAUUGUCAUAAUCCACUUUAUUAUGUCUACAUACAUGGUAGCAAACCUAUUACAAGAACAAUUCUAGCCAGUGUGGGGAACAGCAUAGUGAAUGCACUGUUUCCAAGUUCGGCCCUCAGUGACACCUAGGAAAACAUCUAAUUGGAAAGCCUGCUGCUAAAUUAAGUUGGUGCAAAAGUAAUUGUGGUUUUUGCCAUUUUGAGGUGGGUGCAAAAACUGCACCAACCUAACACAUUGUUGAAACAAUUCUAGAACCUUUCAUCCACUGUGUACAGAGACAGAAUAAUAUUUUGAUAUAGUUAUCAACUAAAUUAACAAGCACUUAGCUGGGGUAUCCGCUACCUAAAUAAAAGGAAGCCAAAAGAAACCUCUGUUAAUUCAAAUAAAAACCUGUUUAUAGCCAGUCCUUAUAAUACAAGCCCCUUAAAAGUCCAAUACAGAUUAAUAAUUAACAAUAUCUAGAAAAAAAUACAGGCAAUUUCUGUAAUGACAUGGACUCUAGAAUUUCCUCGAAUGGAUCCAAGUUAAUCAACUGGACACCAGUGUGUAUUGUCACAUUCUAAGUGUGGUAAAGAAUAUUCACUGCUUAAUUUACACUAAGAGCAACAAGAAAUUUUGAGCAGAUGAGAUCAAAUUAAAUGAGUGUUUUAAACAGAAUAUUGAUAUUAGCUUUAGAGGGAGGCUGCCUCCUAGAACUGCUACUAGGAUCAAGGGUUAACAGUUUUGUGCUUGUUUUACCCACCCUAUCUUUUGGGAGAAGGGGCAAGCUAGGGAAUGUGAGGAGUUUUAAAAGAGGGAAGUAGUAAUCCCAAAGAAGUAAAACAGGAAUAGAUGUAGUAUGGAACAGAAAUCAUUGUCAAACUGUUGAAGCCUCCAAACUACUCAAGUUGCAAUUAAUACCAUACAGAAAUUUUUGCCUCUUCUCCAACAAACCCCACUGUUACUCCUUUUAUACCUGUUGACUUGGUAAUAAACCACCAUACAUCUAGUUAAUAAAUGUUGUAAUAUAUUCUGUUAAGUUCAUACUGAUAGCCUGAAUUUUCUUGUUUACAGUAGGGCCAGAAAUGUAUUCACUGCUGUACCACCUUCAAAAAAUGAAAUAAUCUCUUCAUCUAAAACAUUUUUUUUUGAGACAGGGUCUCACUGUCACCCAGGCUAGCGUGCAGUGGCACGAUCACCCUUCACUGCGGCCUCGACCUCCCAGGCUAAAGUGAUUCUCCUGCCUCAGUCUCAAGAGUAGCUGGGACUACAGGUGCGCACUACCACACCCAGCUAAUUUCUGUAUUUUCUCUAGACAGGAUCCCACUGCCCAAGCUGGUCUCAAACUCCUGGGCUCAAGCAAUCCUGCUACCUGGCCUCCCAAAGUGCUGGGAUUACAGGUAUGAGCCACUGCACCCAGCCCUAAAAUAUAUUUCCAACAUUAAAGGAGGGGAGGAAAGAAGGGGAAGGAAAACAAAUAUUUUCUGGACACUUUCUAUUUUUUGACAAUAUUUAAUUGCUCUAAAAAUUUCCAACUAUCUUUAAAACAUGAACUUUUAGGGAUGGGAACUAAUUCUCUUAACCAGUUUUCCCAAAUGUCUCUACAACCACUAAAUUUAAAAUAGUAAAGAUGCCAG
Molecule: long non-coding RNA, 2144 nt
Filed under: Homo sapiens (human)
Lineage: Eukaryota; Metazoa; Chordata; Mammalia; Primates; Hominidae
Description: HSALNT0064916
Source: RNAcentral